UUCUCUUCUUCGUCCUUACUCUCAACCAACUUAGCAUACGCCCCUUUCUUGGUCUCCAUUUUCUUCUUAACCUCUUCAUUCCACCACCAAUCCCCCCGAUGAUGCCUGGCCCGGCCCAUAGAAACACCCAACACCUCACUAGUAUUCUCCCUGAUGCACCUAGCCACCCUAUCCCACAUACUAUCCACGUCCCUCCUAC
RNAcentral lists this long non-coding RNA (199 nucleotides) under Capsicum annuum. RNAcentral describes it as "long non-coding RNA (CANN_LNC010333)". The record is from RNAcentral. Lineage: Eukaryota; Viridiplantae; Streptophyta; Magnoliopsida; Solanales; Solanaceae.